ACAGAUCUAGCUCAAUGGCAGAGCACGUGCCUCGGACGCACGGCGGUCCCGGUUCGAAUCCGGGGGUCUGUA
This 72-nucleotide transfer RNA is filed under the name Gemmatimonadales bacterium. RNAcentral's name for it is "tRNA-Pro". It matches the Rfam family "tRNA". Rfam says of the family: Transfer RNA (tRNA) molecules are approximately 80 nucleotides in length. Their secondary structure includes four short double-helical elements and three loops (D, anti-codon, and T loops). Lineage: Bacteria; Pseudomonadati; Gemmatimonadota; Gemmatimonadia; Gemmatimonadales. The record is from RNAcentral.